Equus caballus (horse) is the source of this 4742-nucleotide long non-coding RNA. NCBI's taxonomy places the organism in Eukaryota, Metazoa, Chordata, Mammalia, Perissodactyla, Equidae. The record is from Ensembl.
CUGCACUUCUCCAUUUCCAGAACGUGACCUGAAUGUGAGCUAGACAUUUGUUUUCCUAAACCCAUGAGGAUUCUGUCCACUCUCCGCGGGCUCUGUCUCCCCUCCGCCCCCGCGAAGGAGUCAGGACACACUCCCGGUUGUCGCCUUCCCUCAAUCUGUAUGAUUCCCGGCACCUGCCAUUCCACCUCCUUUUCUGUAGAAGUUGGCGUUCGCCUCGGGGCUUCACUCUUGACACUGCUACUAAUUCAUCACUUUAUAUUCGCGAUUGCCCUUCCGAAAGGAGAAUCUUGUUUCAAAAUUGCACCUGGGCAUUUUAAAGUAAAUAUGAUGCAAAUACUCAGUUGCCUCGGGUGGCCAUUAACUCCAGACCGAAGAAUGAAUAUGUAAGACUGGGCUGGGGGUGGGGGUGUGGGCGAGGAAAAUAAUUUGCAUAAUGGUGUUUGCAGCCUGGUGAAACUGAAAACCAGGCUGUGUGGGUGGGGCCUUGUUUCCUGACGUCAGCGCUGUCGCCCACGGACGCCCCCACCGACACGUGGCGCCCUCCCGCCGCCCACAGAGGCAGUGGGACGGCAAGGUGGAGGGGCCGGGGCACCAAGUGUGAAACCAGAAUAAACACCUGGAGCUCCGGCCGGCUGGAGCUCCCUGGUCUGACCCUGUGAAGAAACACACUGCAUCCUCUUUUCCUGAUGCCUGUUAGAGCCUGUCUCGGUGGGGUCUCAUCUUGUGUGGCAUGGCAAGUCUUGAAAAAUGGGAUCCAUCAUUUUUGAACAGUUGCUCCUUUUUUGAUCCCCCGAGAGUCAGUUUCUGAGUCAGCCUGAGUGCUCCAGAGCCUGACACCUGAGACCUGAGACAAGUGUAGCUCAGGGCCCACUGUUCGCUAGAGAAACGCUCAGAACCUCAAGGGUGUCAUAAAGGGAGCUCCCAGGACCACCACCCUUCACCUACUUGAUGAGUCCGCUGAAGUGCCGCGUGGCAUUUUUCGUUAGUAGUAAUUUGACAACUAUGUGAUCUUAGAGUUUCCGUCCCAUUUGGCUAGCUGACGUCUCUAAGUAGCAGAGUGAUUUUUGGGGGAUAAUACCAGACUGUUUUUGAUACAGGACUAAUUUGCUCUAAGUACCAGAUUUUCUACUGUAAUAUAUAGGUAUGUACUCCCGGUAGAGUUGUAAGAGUAGAAGCCUUUUGUAGCCAUGUUUCUUUUCACUUUGUCUUCAGCCAGCAGUUGGCCCAGGAUCCUUGCUGGUAGACAUGGGGACGUGUUCUGGGGGAGCGGUCCCCACCCUGGAGGUCCCUGAUCUCAGUGAUGUUCUCAGGGACUGAAAUCCACCUGCAUGUCAGCCACUGUAAACGACUAAUAACUGAUGGCCCUGGCAUCUGUGUAUGCUAUGAUCGAGGGGCUCUUUCAAUAUAAAUGAUCCAAAUUCUUUUAUAUUUAUAGCUAAAUUCAUAUUGUUUUUUUAAUUUCCAGAUAAUAAAAAUAUAACUACUCUUAUAACGUGUGUGUGGGGGGCUGGUGACUCAGGCUCAGAAGAUGAGCCCGAGACAGAAUUUGGUGCCAGGCAGGAGAGCUGCGAGGAGACGGCAGCACGCUGCCGGCAAAGAUGCUCUCGAGGAAUUUCUGGCUAUCGAUUGCGGUCGCUGCCCAUUUGGCCCCAGAAUGGACGUCAUGGUCCUACUUUUCAUUCUUCCAUAGUGGGUAUAGCUUUUCACCAUUGACUUCUUAUUUAAAAGUAUUUGUCUUAUGGAACACUGACAAGAAGGUCCUUUACACAGGUGCACUCCUAUUAGGCAUUUGUGGUGUUUGCACUGAAAACUUAGGGGUGAGGCCAAAAGCUAGGAGCCUGGGGGCUUUCUUUAGUUUACUUAAAAUUUUUAACUGUUCUGUUUUAUUUUUCUUGUUGCAUUUUGGGAGAAAGAGGAAAAACCAGUUUUAAAACUGGAAUUGGGCCGUUGCAAGUGUUUAUUUCCGCAAACGUUACCUGGAUGAUGAUGAUGUCUCAGGCAUCAUGCCACUGUAAGGAAUAGUGCACUUGUCCUUGGGAAGUUCACAGGGAACUUCCUGUGUUUGGAAGGGCAGACAGUUCUGAAAGAUAAUGUGAUAUCAACAUUUCUGUCUCCCAAGGGCCAAGUGUGUAUGAGGCUCUGGGCCAGGAUCAUUGUGUGAAUGAUCCCAUGUCAUCCUCUUACGAUCCAUGGGGGAGGUCCUAUUGUGAUCCCUGUUUUACAGAUGAGGAAAAUGAGGCACAGAGAGGUUAAGUAACUUGUCAAAGGUCGUACAGCAGGUAGGUGGCAGAGCCUGGAUUUGAAGCCAGACAGUUGAUCACAAAUUGCAUACUCUUAACUGCCCUGGUAUUAAACUAUACCAUGAGUGAAGCACUCUGGGAACACAGAUAACUCUGGGGCUUCUGUCUGCGGGUGUCCAGGGUGUGUUCAGGGAGGAGCCGAUAUUUAGCUGAGCCAGGAAGGGUUGGGGCUCCAGUGUUGGAUAAACAUGUAAGGUGGCUUUUUCUGCUAAUGACAGUAGAAGAAAAGUUUAAAACAGGGCCGUUUGCUCACAGCUAAAGACACAUUACAUUUUAAAGGACCCUGGUUAUUUUUCACCUUCUUAGAUCUCACCCCGCUGUCUUACGCAGUUAACGUUGGUGAGAAUGGCAUUCCUGCCCUACAUAGUAAGAUGUCACUUCUCAGACACGUAAUUUGGGGCAUAGAAUGAGUAAAAAUAUAACACUAAAAAGAUUAUUUCAUCAAGAUAUGCUGACCGGGGAUUUCACUUAUUGGUUCUGGAAGCCUCCCGAUAAGUCACAAAGAAAAUGCAUUCCGGAACUCUCUGACAGAGGUAGAAUUCACCCAAACGAUGCGGAGACAGGCUGUGGAAAACCCGGGCGCCCCUCCUGCCCUUGGGUGGCUUUUAGUUAGAAAAGCGUUUGUUUGGGGCUCCCUCGCACAGCCUUGCCUACAUCCUCCGGCAGCUGUCGGGGGAGGUGCUGCGUGCAUUCGGAGCCCCGAGAGGAGACUCAAGGCGCACGAAGUGGUCAGGGGUCCCGCGGAAAGGAAAGACGUGACUGAGCCUGGAAAGGCCGAGGAGAUGGAGGGAGAAGAGGGGCCAGCAGGGGCCACCAGACGGAGGCAGGAGUGGGCACCGGUGUGAGCGAGGGGACAGUCGGGCUGUCCUCCUGGAUGAGCGGUGGGAUUUUAUCUGCCUGAAAGCAGUGGCCAUGUUCUAGCCAUCUUUGUCCCCUUCCCUGUCCUCUCCUCUCCUCCCUCCCGUAUCCCAUGGCAUCUUACUGGUGCCUGUUACGGGCUGAAUUGUGUCUCACUGCAAAUUCAUAUGCUGACGUCCUAACCCCUGGUACCUUAGAAUGUGACUGUGUUUGGUGAUUAAGUUAAAAUGAGGUAAUUCCGGUGGACACUAACCCAAUAUGACUGGUGUCCUUGUAAGGAGAGGGGAUUAGGACACAGACACAUAUAGAGGAAACGCCAUGUGAGGACCCAGGGACAAGGCAGCCAUCUAUAAGCCAAGGAGAGAGGCCUUAGAAGAAACUAAACUUGCCAACAGCUUGAUCAGAGACUUCAAGUGAGAGAAAAUAAAUGUCUGUUGUCUGAGGCCCACAUCCUGUGGUACUUGGUUAUGGCGGCCCUAGCUAACUCCUGCAGCGCUCGAUGUAAUUUUGUUGAAGAAAAGCCUGGAUAGAUGGAUGGGAGGAAGCAAACGUUGCUUAGCUAGGGGGUGAGCGAACCAUAGAGGUCUUCCUCCACCUGGGCAGAGGCUCUAAAGUCAGCGUUGGUGGCAGUAAGGAGCACUGUAGGUGCUUGAGCAGGAGAAUUCUAUGGCCAAAGCAACGUUUCAGGAAGCCUGGUGUGGUGAGGCUCCAGACCUCUGAGCCAAUGGGAUGAACCAGGACUGGGAACCAUAGAAGGCCUGACAAGGGGCUAGGAGAUAACUGAUGGGCACUGGUGUAAUGAAGACGGUUCUCUCUGUCCCUUUAUGUCAGUAUUCUCUCCUGGAGGCAGACGAGGGCCUCUGAUGCACCGCGAAACUGGAAUUCUACCUGGAGACAAGCCCACAAAGGCUCCUAUCUGAUUGGAGAGAGCCCAGCUCCCCUCACUCUCCAAGGAAUUCGGAAUCCACACCCAUGGAGUCCCCACCAGAAUAACUGGGAGAUGAAACAGGAAGCUCUAUGACACACUUGAUCGAAAAUGACACAGACGUAGAAAAAUCAGGACUCCAGCACCUCUACCUGCUGUCGGCUGCUGGAAGGCAGGUGACAGCUUUGCCCUGGGACCUGAUUCUAGCUGCCGUGGACUCCAAGGGCCUCCGCAUUCGCUGAUGAUGUGUCUGCGAUAUUGAGGUCGUGGUCUAGUCUGGUCGGUUUCCUAUUUAUCUGGCGAGUCUCUAUGUGUCUUAAUCCCUUUUCCUCCAUUAAAAGCAAAACGAAAGAAAAAUGAAUUGUUUGUUAUUAGCUAUAUUUAAACACUAAUUUAAAGGAUACCAAAUGGCCUUUGAGAUUAAUUUCUGCAGGACCACAAGUAAGCCCUGCCAUAACCCCACUGGUCAUGAUGACAUCUUUAGAAGAGUGUUGAACUUGAAUCUCUUAUUACUCAGCCUUGUUUGCCCUGCUUUUUCCUCUCCCCUUCUAGAAGACCUCUAGAAGACCUCCCAGUCUGUCCCCAGCACCUGGUACUGGGUCAGUAAUGGCAUAUUGACAUUUAAGAAAACACUGGAAGACAUUUGGAAGUCUCUUUCC